Molecule: microRNA, 23 nt
Filed under: Ananas comosus (pineapple)
Lineage: Eukaryota; Viridiplantae; Streptophyta; Magnoliopsida; Poales; Bromeliaceae
Description: microRNA s1415_c065b
Source: RNAcentral
GCUUCAGCCGUAUGCAUAAUCUC